Molecule: microRNA precursor, 96 nt
Filed under: Marmota marmota marmota (Alpine marmot)
Lineage: Eukaryota; Metazoa; Chordata; Mammalia; Rodentia; Sciuridae
Also listed under: 3 other names
Description: mir-544 microRNA precursor family
Rfam family: mir-544 microRNA precursor family
Source: Rfam by way of RNAcentral
AUCUGGGAAUCUUGUUAAAAUGCAGAUUUUGAAUCAGUAAGUCUGGCAAUGGGGCCUGAGAUUCUGCAUUUCUAACAAGCUCCCAGGAGAGGUCAG